Molecule: ribosomal RNA, 115 nt
Filed under: Streptococcus suis
Lineage: Bacteria; Bacillati; Bacillota; Bacilli; Lactobacillales; Streptococcaceae
Source: RNAcentral
UUAAGUGACGAUAGCCUAGGAGAUACACCUGUACCCAUGCCGAACACAGCAGUUAAGCCCUAGAACGCCUGAAGUAGUUGGGGGUUGCCCCUGUUAGAUACGGUAGUCGCUUAGC